CUCCGGUUGAUCCUGCCGGACCCGACUGCUAUCAGAGUGGGACUAAGCCAUGCGAGUCGACGUAGCAAUGCGUGGCGAACGGCUCAGUAACACGUAGUCAACAUGCCCAGGGGACGUGGAUAACCUCGGGAAACUGAGAAUAAACCACGAUAGGUCAUGAUUUCUGGAAUGGAUCAUGGCCCAAAUCUACAUGGCCCCUGGAUUGGACUGCGGCCGAUCAGGCAGUUGGUGAGGUAAAGGCCCACCAAACCUAUAACCGGUACGGGCUCUGAGAGGAGAAGCCCGGAGAUGGGCACUGAGACAAGGGCCCAGGCCCUAUGGGGCGCAGCAGGCGCGAAACCUCUGCAAUAGGCGAAAGCCUGACAGGGUUACUCUGAGUGAUUUCCGCUAAGGGGAUCUUUUAGCACCUCUAAAAAUGGUGCAGAAUAAGGGGUGGGCAAGUCUGGUGUCAGCCGCCGCGGUAAUACCAGCACCCCGAGUGGUCGGGACGAUUAUUGGGCCUAAAGCAUCCGUAGCCGGUUCUGCAAGUCUUCCGUUAAAUCCAGCCGCUCAACGGAUGGGCCGCGGAGGAUACUACAGGACUAGGAGGCGGGAGAGGCAAGCGGUACUCAGUGGGUAGGGGUAAAAUCCUUUGAUCCAUUGAAGACCACCAGUGGCGAAGGCGGCUUGCCAGAACGCACUCGACGGUGAGGGAUGAAAGCUGGGGGAGCAAACCGGAUUAGAUACCCGGGUAGUCCCAGCUGUAAACGAUGCAGACUCGGUGAUGGGCUAGCCUUGUGCCAGCCCAGUGCCGCAGGGAAGCCGUUAAGUCUGCCGCCUGGGGAGUACGGUCGCAAGACUGAAACUUAAAGGAAUUGGCGGGGGAGCA
This 868-nucleotide ribosomal RNA is filed under the name uncultured archaeon. RNAcentral describes it as "bacterial SSU rRNA". It matches the Rfam family "Archaeal small subunit ribosomal RNA", at positions 1 to 878 of the family's 1478-position model. The record is from RNAcentral.